Molecule: ribosomal RNA, 559 nt
Filed under: uncultured bacterium
Lineage: Bacteria
Description: bacterial SSU rRNA
Rfam family: Bacterial small subunit ribosomal RNA
Source: RNAcentral
UGGGGGGCUGCAGUGGGGAAUCUUGCGCAAUGGGCGAAAGCCUGACGCAGCAACGCCGCGUGCGGGAAGAAGGCUCUCGGGUUGUAAACCGCUUUCAGCAGGAACGAAAAUGACGGUACUUGCAGAAGAAGGUGCGGCCAACUACGUGCCAGCAGCCGCGGUGAUACGUAGGCACCAAGCGUUGUCCGGAUUUAUUGGGCGUAAAGAGCUCGUAGGCGGUUCGGUAAGUCAGGUGUGAAAACUUUGGGCUUAACCCAAAGCCUGCAUCUGAUACUGCCGUGACUAGAGUUCGGUAGGGGAGCGGGGAAUUCCUAGUGUAGCGGUGAAAUGCGCAGAUAUUAGGAGGAACACCGGUGGCGAAGGCGCCGCUCUGGGCCGAAACUGACGCUGAGGAGCGAAAGCGUGGGUAGCGAACAGGAUUAGAUACCCUGGUAGUCCGCACCGUAAACGGUGGGCACUAGUUGUGGGAACCUUCCACGGUUUCCGCGACGCAGCAAACGCAUUAAGUGCCCCGCCAGGGGAGUACGAUCGCAAGAUUAAAACUCAAAGGAAUUGACGG